GAUGAAGAACGUAGCGAAAUGCGAUAAGUAAUGUGAAUUGCAGAAUUCAGUGAAUCAUCGAAUCUUUGAACGCACAUUGCGCCCCCUGGUAUUCCGGGGGGCAUGCCUGUUCGAGCGUCAUUACAACCCUCAAGCUCUGCUUGGUGUUGGGCCCCGCCGCCCCGGCGGGCCCUAAAAUCAGUGGCGGUGCCGUCCGGCUCCGAGCGUAGUAAUUCUUCUCGCUCUGGAGGUCCGGGUGUGUGCUCGCCAGCAACCCCCAAUUUUUUUCAGGUUGACCUCGGAUCAGGUAGGGAUACCCGCUGAACUUAAGCAUAUCAAUAAGCGGAGGA
Molecule: unclassified non-coding RNA, 329 nt
Filed under: soil metagenome
Description: partial contains 5.8S ribosomal RNA, internal transcribed spacer 2, and large subunit ribosomal RNA
Rfam family: 5.8S ribosomal RNA (bases 1-120)
Source: RNAcentral